Molecule: long non-coding RNA, 5511 nt
Organism: Sapajus apella (tufted capuchin)
Lineage: Eukaryota; Metazoa; Chordata; Mammalia; Primates; Cebidae
Exons: 2
Source: RefSeq, a predicted model, not a curated record
GUUCGAGAUCAGCCUGACCAACGUGGAGAAACUCUGUCUCUACUAAAGAUUAAAAAAAAACAGCUGGGCGUGGUGAUUAUACCUGCUUAUAAUCCUCGCUACUCAAGAGGCUGAGUCAGGAGAAUCACUUGAACCCGGGAGAUGGAGGUUGCAGUGAGCCAAGAUUGCACCACUGCACUCCAGCCUGGGCAACAGAGUGAGACUGUCUCAAAAAAAAAAAAAAACAAAAAAAAACCAUAUUUUUGUAAUAAGUGUGCCUGACCAGGAAUAAACAGGAAAUAUAGAUCAGUAAGGUAAAAUGAGACCAGAUUACUGAGGGCUUUGAGUAAUAUGCUAAGGAAUUUUGGAUUCUGCAUGUUGUUAUUAAUGUCAUGGUCAGCAGUCCUGUUGAUUUUCAUAAGGUAUUACGUAAUAGCAAUUAUAGUCUUACAAAGAUCUUUUACAGUCUUGAAUAAUUUUGCGUUGGAAAUUAUACUUCAAGAAUGAAUUUGUUUCCUCUCUCUAAUCUGGGUGACAGAGCAGGACUCUUUUAAAAAAAAUGAACUUGUGUUGUAGUGAUCAAGACUAUUAUUAUUCAUCCUCUAAUUAGUAUGUAUUUUUACAAAGAAGAAAUGUGUUUCCUUUGUUGGUUUCUUUUGGUUAUCCAAUAAUAUUGCUGUCUACUGACCACUCUGCAGGUGAGUAAAGAUUUUAUAGUCUUUCAUACCUUGAUUAAAUCCUGAUUUUUACCAGUUAUGAAUUUUUAUCAAAUUAGGCACUUCAAGAAUAAAGAUGUUUGUCUGUUAAAAUUUCAUGGUGUACAUUUUGGAUAUAAUUUAUGUGGUUUGCUGUCUGCUGCUAUAUGAAACAAAUAUUUUAGUUACACUGGAUUUUCUUAGAACUUCUGUGAUACAUUAACACAAGAGACAUGUGAAUAUGUUUCUAAAUGUAAUCUUUUGAAAUCCAGAAGAUCCUUGUGAAUAUUCCACUGGAUCAUUGUGAAAUAUUCCACCACCAUGCACAAUACAUUUCCAACUAUUAUAGGUCAUAAAUAUUUGGUAAUGAUUGUCAAAUAAGCGAUACACUAUAUUGAAAGUUUAAUAGGAAUGACUUGUAGUUCUCUUGUAAAACUGAGAAUGCCAGUUCAAGUGAUAAAUAAUGGUUUUUAGAUAUGUGAUUUAAACCAAAAUAAUGGCUUUUACUGAUUUUAUUUUAUUUAUUUAGUGGGGCGAAUAUUUGACAUCAGAAAAGUAGUUCAAACCUGCAACUUGGAUAGAGGUCUGGUAUAAUUGACAUCUCCAGAAACGGUUCACAUUCUAGGCUGGAUAAAUGAUUUAUUGUUACUUUGCUGGCAUUUUGAGGAUUUGUCACAGAAGUUUUUCUUAAGCUAUGUUUCUUUGAAGUCUUAAGUUUUUUUAUUCUUAUUGUUUCCUGGAAAGCCUCAUUUCAGUGACAGUUUUGAUUCAAAGUGAGACAUUGGCUAGUUGCCACUUAGCUAAACACAUCCCUCUCUUCAUUGUUGCACAAACCCCACAUUUCCUGAAAGUAGAGUCUCCAUUUAUGUACUUUAAAAAACUUUAUUUUGCAUACUAUAUAUGUUCUGUAAAUGCUAGUUUACUUCUGCUUUCUUUAUUUAAUAUUGCAAUAAAAUAUGAUUCACUGAAUUUACUGCAGACUGAUUGUAAUUAUCCUAAAAGUUUAAGGUUUAACAAAAGAUUGUGGCAAAUUUACUGGAGGGGCUCUACAUUUCUUAAGUAACCUUCUUCAGUGUGUUCUCUGUAGCUAAUGAAUAGUAUAUUCGUUGAAACCCCAUUUUUGUUUAAUCAGUUUGUUGGAUUCACCACUAAAACAGUGGCACAGUAAGGUUAGAUUGUAGGUGGUAAUCCUUCUUAAAUGAGGCUUAGGGGAGUUGGCAUGGUGGUUUGUAAACUGUGUUUUGAGAUUUGCCGGCUUCCAGUAAGUGUAAUGUUACAAACCUCAGAAUUUCAUUGUAACCCAGUUAUCUCAAAGACAGUCAUUUAUUUGUCAAGGAAGCCACUAAAUAUAUACAUACGUAUUUCUUUAUCUCAUUUUACACACACACACACACACACACAUCCCCACACCCACACAUCCACACACACCAUUUUUUCUACACAAGAAUUUAUGACUCACUUAGGGAAAUAAUCUGAUUUUUUUCUCCCUUGCCUCUAAAAAUGCAGUGCUACCUAAUUUUAUUGAGUUCUGUAAAAUUUUAAAAAUAAACCUAUUGUGAGCUUAUAGAAAUAUUUGUCUUCAAAAAAUGAUGUUUCACUUCAAAGAGGGUUUUGCUUGUGAUGCAAAGUUGGUUUAAAGGUCUCAGUACAAAAUACAUGUUUGUUUAUAGAUGCUAAGAAUUGUCAGCUUAGGAUUUUAUAAGGAGAUAUUCAGAAAUUUGAAAUUUGGUAUUUUAAAAUCAGAUGUCAUUCUUGGUAAUACUAGUCAUUUUACUUUGAUAUGUUUUGUAAUACUAUUUUCAUACCUUUACUCAGUUUUACAGAUUGAUAUUAUAAAUUUGCCUUUAAAGUAUAACUGAUAAGUCUGAUAUUUGAGUAUCACUAAACUGAAGAAGUUGCUCAUAGGUGAUGUUUCAGUUGAAAACUGUAUUAUUUAUUUGGCCACAGCAUGAUUUUUGUAAAACUCAAGUUUUGCCUCAGAUAUAAUCUGCAGAGUACCUUUAACCACUGUGAAUUUAUUUCCCAAUACUUUAGACCCAGGUGAGGAGUUGUUAUAAACUGCUGUCAGGUCUGGAAUCCUGUUGUUUUCAAAUUUCUAUCUGCUCCUCGUAAAAUUUGGCUUUGGUACAUUUAAAUUAACUUUUCUCUAAACAGUUUUUGGUAAUUUUCUUUUUCAAAUUUGUAAACUCUAAGAAAUACAUACAAAAAUACAUUCAUUCUUUCCUUUGAUUAACAUUCAUUGCCUGUCUGCUAUGUGGUUGCUAAAACAGUCUUUAACCUCAAGUAGCUUAAAAUAUCAAGAGGGGAGAUAAACUGCAUACCUUUGUGUAGUACAUGAAGAGCAGCAUGUUAGGGUGAUCAAAGUGCUCUGAAAGUGCCCUACAGGAACUUCAGGUUGGGGAGGUGGGAGGGAAGAUGUUGGGUGGGGGUGUCCUUGAAUUGCGGCUAGGAGUUUGGGGUGGGGAGAAUAAACAUGUGAUAUAUGUUAGAGUCCAUUAGUUUCCAGAUUGUGUUUUUUGGGUCUCCAAGCUUGUCACCUUUUCUAAUUUUUCACUUGUUUUGUGUUGGGAUUGAUAUAGUAGAAAGUGAGAAAUUGACAUGUCAGGGAGAGAGAGAGAGAGAGAGUAGAAUUGCUAGAACAAUGUUCUUAAGUGGGAAAUGGGAAAAAGUACAGAAGUAGGGGAUUGGCAAAACAGCAAAGAUGCAUCUUCUCUAGUAUAUGAGAAAAGCCGGAGCAUGGAGUGCAGAGGCUGAUAGGUGGUAGAUGCGGAAUGUGGAAUUUCUCUUUCAUUGGUUUCUGUCAUUGAAAAAGGAAGGAAAGUCAUGAGUUGAGAGCAAAGAUAGGGAAAGAAGUACCAGAGGUUCGUGGAGAAUGCCUAAGAAAAUGGUUAGGCAUGGAGGAGAGUGGCUGAGUGAAGGGCUUAGGGAAGUGUGUUUUGAUUUCUGCACAAUGGCAAGAACCCACUUGAGUUGUGGUUAUUAAUUAAAGUAAGACCUGAAUGGGUUUGGGUUUUUUCUAACCAUAUUCAGCAGCACAGGUUCAGGCAUAGAUGCGUGAGCUGGAUUUAAAUGAGAGGAGGGACAAGAGAGGUGGGGGCAUGUGCGCAGAAGUGAUUAUAAUAACCGGCAAUAGAAUUUAAAGAGGGAGAAGGCGCGAGGCAGGUGGAGAAUAGUUAAAGGUGGUUGGACCUGUGGAGUAUAACAGACCUCACUAUGGAAACAGCAGUUUGCGGUAUAGUUUUAGGUCUCAACAUUGGAAGUUGGAUUAUGUUGAAGCAAGCAAUCAAAAGAAAAUUUUGUUGUGAGAUUCUUGUAAUGCUCCAGUUUUAAACAAAAUCGUAUCAUAAUCUGAAAAAAUAUAACCUUAAGGUUUCUCCCAUUUUUCACUUUAAAGAAAUGAUUGAGAUGAUAGUAAAGAGUGUUGUGUAUUCCUGUUGUGUAACUUGCCACUACCAGAUUCCAGUUGGCUGAUAUGCAAAGAAAGUUUAGGUUUAGCAGUGUCCUGUGUGUUGUUGAAUAGAAGAUUAAAUGCCCGAAUGGUAAUAGUUUCUUUUUAAACUUUGGAUUGACAACUUUUUUCUUUUUUUUUAAAGAUGAUUUGUAAAUGGUAUGUACAGGUUAAAUUUUGAGGUGACUUGUUUUCUGUUUAAGAAAUAACUCAUUUUCAGGUUCCUCAGAAAUUUAUUUCACAUAUAAACAGUGUAAUUAUAUAGUAAUGAAGAACUGUUAAAACUGUGAUUAGCCCUUUAGAUAUCUUAGAAUGUAUAUCACUUUAAAUAAAAAUCUGUUGAAACCACUUAAUCAAGAUUCUGCAUUUUUUUGUAGACAAGUAGAUGGAGUAGUGAGCAGUUAGAAUUGCGGUACCUGUGUCCUUUAGUAGUUGAGAGGGGGAGGGACCUGGUGUAGAUCUGGAGGAACUUACUGUAGAUAACAGCGUAAAUACUUAUCUCUGCCAGACUUUCUUCAUGUUGGGACCGUAAGUUAAGUGUCCCUUACUUGAAACGCUUGGGACUAGAAGUGUUUGGGACUUUGGAUUUUUUCAGGUUUUGGAAUAUUUGCAUAUACAUAAUGAGAGAUAUCUUGGGGAUGGAACUCAAGUCUAAACAUGAAAUUUAUGUUUCACGUAUACCUUACUCAUACAACCUGAAGUAAAUUUUAUGCAACAUUUUAAAUAAUUGUAUGCAUGAAACAGUUUUGACCGCAUUUUUACUGCAGCCUGUCACAAGAGGUCAAGUAUAGACUUUUUUGCUUGUGACAUCAUGUUGGCAUUGAAAAAGUUUUAGGUUUUGGAGCACUUUGGAUUUCAGAUUUUUGUAUUAGGAAUGCUUAGCCUGAAUUGAUAGUUAGGCUGGAUGUUGUUUGUGUAGCUGUCUGCCCUGUGCAUUGUAGGAUGUUUAGCAGCAUCUCUGGCUGCUGCCAUUGGAUGCCAGCAGUACCAAGACAGUGCCGUCCAACCACAGCCAUUAAAGUGAAAUAAAUUAAUUGUAACAAUUUGAAAUGCAGAAAGCCACAAAGUAAGUCAUUUGGAUUGUAGAGAUAAAUAAAGGAAAUUCACAUGUAUGAGAUAUGACCAGCAUCUUACUGGUGUUAUUUAUAUGUCAUUGGAAUCUUUUACCAUCCUUUCAGGUACUUACUUACACUCCUUUUAAUAGACAUGUUCACAGGCUCAGAAUAUAGCAGCUGUAUUUGGGCAAACAACUACUAAUUAUCUAAUGAGGCAUUUUCCCAUGGAGAAUGGCCAUAUCCAUCCACGUAGGAUUGUAUAUAAGACUUUGCCCUUGUCUCUUUGGUUCUCCCCCCUUCUCUUUUUUUCUUUCUGCUCUUCUCUUGUAACCUU